This 253-nucleotide ribosomal RNA is filed under the name uncultured bacterium. RNAcentral describes it as "partial 16S ribosomal RNA". It matches the Rfam family "Bacterial small subunit ribosomal RNA", at positions 524 to 776 of the family's 1533-position model. The record is from RNAcentral.
UACAGAGGGUGCAAGCGUUGUUCGGAAUUAUUGGGCGUAAAGCGCGUAUCGGCGGCUUUGCAAGUCGGGUGUGGAAGCCCUCAGCUCAACUGAGGAAGUGCGCCCGAAACUGCAGAGCUUGAGUGCCGGAGAGGGUGGCGGAAUUCCCCAAGUAGAGGUGAAAUUCGUAGAUAUGGGGAGGAACACCGGUGGCGAAGGCGGCCACCUGGACGGCAAAUCACGCUGAUACGCGAAAGCGUGGGGAGCAAACAGG